ACGGGUGAGUAACACGUAUCCAACCUGCCGUCUACUCUUGGACAGCCUUCUGAAAGGAAGAUUAAUACAAGAUGGCAUCAUGAGUCCGCAUGUUCACAUGAUUAAAGGUAUUCCGGUAGACGAUGGGGAUGCGUUCCAUUAGAUAGUAGGCGGGGUAACGGCCCACCUAGUCUACGAUGGAUAGGGGUUCUGAGAGGAAGGUCCCCCACAUUGGAACUGAGACACGGUCCAA
Molecule: ribosomal RNA, 232 nt
Filed under: uncultured bacterium
Lineage: Bacteria
Description: partial 16S ribosomal RNA
Rfam family: Bacterial small subunit ribosomal RNA
Source: RNAcentral